Molecule: non-coding RNA, 74 nt
Organism: Glycine soja
Lineage: Eukaryota; Viridiplantae; Streptophyta; Magnoliopsida; Fabales; Fabaceae
Source: Rfam
UCCUAUGAUGGCAUGAAAUCUUUGAGACCUGAUUGUCUAACUUGAUGACAACCAUAAGCAUAAUCGCUGAGGAU